UGUUUUCCACGUGCUUUUUGCGUUUCCAUAAGAAAUUCAAACUCAAAUUAAGAUCCCUCCACCUGAAAGCCUAUCAUCCGCCAUGUCGGAGGUUGCUUCCGGCGGCGACAGAGCCCUAACGUCUAAACAAAAUACAUCACCUUCCUCAUCUCCUCACCCUGAGUCCAGAUACCACAUUCAUAUUCCCUAAUUCUUCCUCAUAAAGUCGAAUCUCAGUGACAUGCACAAGAACCCUAGGUUUUAGAAGUGAAAUUAAAUCUUGUAUUUAUUGAAUCAAAGCCCAAUAGGUUAAGGCUUUGAUUCCCCAAGCUUCCAUCUACAUUUCUGUAACACAUUGAAUGUGAAAUGAGGAAGAAAAGCUCACUUGUGAAGUUCUCCGAUGGUGGUUGUGACAGUGAGGAUGAAAGGAGGAUUAUGCAUAACCGAUGCCUUACCAUGAUGCAGUGCAGGAUGAUGCUUUCUUGUCAUAGUUAACUGUCAUGAGGAAAUGGAUGAAUGCAAGGAUGAUUGGUCUUAAAGGAACAAUGGAAUUAGGGUUUAGGGGAUGUAGAAAUGGUGACUUGACUUUGGUCAACUGGGUGACCAAAAAGUCAAUAGUUGACCAAAAGUCAACGUAUGCCAAAAAUGUAAUUUUAUAAUUUUCUCAUGAAUGUGUAUGGACAAUGUAACAAAUGGUCUUUAUGAAUGAAAUGCACAUUUUCAG
Molecule: long non-coding RNA, 703 nt
Organism: Lathyrus oleraceus (garden pea)
Lineage: Eukaryota; Viridiplantae; Streptophyta; Magnoliopsida; Fabales; Fabaceae
Exons: 3
Source: RefSeq, a predicted model, not a curated record